Molecule: transfer RNA, 24 nt
Filed under: Rhinella paraguas
Lineage: Eukaryota; Metazoa; Chordata; Amphibia; Anura; Bufonidae
Description: partial tRNA-Phe
Source: RNAcentral
UAAAAAGUUCUUUAAACAUAAAGG